UACGGGGGGGGCAAGCGUUGUUCGGAAUUACUGGGCGUAAAGGGCUCGUAGGCGGCCAACUAAGUCAGACGUGAAAUCCCCAGGCUUAACUUGGGAACUGCGUCUGAUACUGGAUGGCUUGAAUUCGGGAGAGGGAUGCGGAAUUCCAGGUGUAGCGGUGAAAUGCGUAGAUAUCUGGAGGAACACCGGUGGCGAAGGCGGCAUCCUGGACCGAGAUUGACGCUGAUGCGCGAAAGCCAGGGGAGCAAACGGG
Molecule: ribosomal RNA, 253 nt
Filed under: uncultured bacterium
Lineage: Bacteria
Description: partial 16S ribosomal RNA
Rfam family: Bacterial small subunit ribosomal RNA
Source: RNAcentral